This is a long non-coding RNA of Heterocephalus glaber (naked mole-rat), 1498 nucleotides long. The record is from Ensembl. NCBI's taxonomy places the organism in Eukaryota, Metazoa, Chordata, Mammalia, Rodentia, Bathyergidae.
UGUGCUCACACAGUCCUUAGGGAGCAUGCCAGCCAGCCUAGGUCGAGGGUCACUGGGCACGUGUCAGCCCGUGGGGUCAGCUGCCUGGACCUCGGGGUUGAAAGCGGCCACUUCCCACACGUGUGCUGGUGACGGGCCCACUCCUUUUGCCCUGGGUGCCACUCUGCCCCUUCUGGCCUGGUUCCUUCCCUCUCCCUAGGCCACACCUGCUGCCCAGGCUCUUGCCCCGCCCCCAGGACCUUUCCUCCUGGAUGCUGUGUGCCAUCCUGGAACAUCCAGGGACAGCUCGAGGUUAGACUAGCACCCUCCAGGCCACCCCGUCCCUGGUCCUGCACAGAGAAGCCAGCACUCUGGGACCCUAGAGGAAGCUUUCUCCCCUCCAAGAGCAGCACCUGCUAUUUUUGUCUUUCAGCAUAGUCCAUGCCAGCCAAGUGCUGUAGCACAGGGCACAGUCCGGCUGGCCUGGUACUGCAAAGCAGCUGCCCCUACUGUGAAGUCAUUCACCUGGACUGCUCACCCUGGCUUCUGCACCCCGAAAACCCAGGGGUGGGGCGUCUCACACCCUCUCUGGCCAGCAUGAGCUCCUCCAGCCUGGUGCUCAGCAGCGCCUCUGUCUCCAAACACCCACGGGGGUUUGGGCUACAGGGACUGGGUGGGGCCGUGCCCUCCAGACUGCCAGGUGAGGGGCGCCACGGGGCCCUAGGAGCUGGAAAGCUGCCUCACCUGGGCGGAAAGUCCUGCCCCAGCCCCCAGGGUAGGAAUUCCUGUCUGGAAAAGGUGAAGGGUUGCAGCUCUUUACCUUUGAAUGCGAGUUUCCAUGGCAACCGAAGCCCAAGGACCAUUCAGGGUUCCAAACAAAACAAGUCCGGGGUCUGAGGUCCGGGCCCUGCCCCCGCCCCGCUCCAAGUUGAGCCACUGAGGGGCUCCGGCCAACCCGUGCUACGAACUGGGACCUGCUGGGCGAACAAAAGCUCCUGCCUCACUCUAACACUGGAAAUUAAAAUUGUAGUUUCAGCUUCUUCAACCCUAUGGCAGGUGACCUUCAAGCUGGGCCCGAACGACGAACGACGCACGCCGCGUCGGGACCCUGCUUCUCCGGGAGGAGGGAAAGUGAUCUAUUUGCGGGAGACAUAUUUUCCAGGCGCUUUAGGAAAGACACCCCACCCCCUCGGCUGCUGACUGUAAAAUAAGAAAACUAUUACCCGGCUGGGCAACAAUGGGCUCCCACGGUGCUUUUCUGCGCGGCCCGCAGCUGCAGGGAAAGUGGAAGCUCGGGCAGGAGCCUCCUCCGCCGCCUUUCUAUGGGCAGGAGGCCUCCCGCUGCUGCGCCGCAUUUUCUAUGCAAAACUGCAGAAGAAGUGACAUUUUAAAAGUUUUGACCUUUGUUUUUUUUUCCUUGCAUGAACCAAAGCAUACAUUUUUUAAACCUUCUGACAGGGUAUCUGUUAGAAACGGCAAUAGCCAUUACAGUAAUAAUAAAAUGUUUCAAAAUUUGAAA